GACGAACGCUGGCGGCGUGCUUAACACAUGCAAGUCGAACGGAAAGGCCCUGCUUUUGUGGGGUGCUCGAGUGGCGAACGGGUGAGUAACACGUGAGUAACCUGCCCUUGACUUUGGGAUAACUUCAGGAAACUGGGGCUAAUACCGGAUAGGAGCUCCUGCUGCAUGGUGGGGGUUGGAAAGUUUCGGCGGUUGGGGAUGGACUCGCGGCUUAUCAGCUUGUUGGUGGGGUAGUGGCUUACCAAGGCUUUGACGGGUAGCCGGCCUGAGAGGGUGACCGGCCACAUUGGGACUGAGAUACGGCCCAGACGCAUACGGGGGGCAGCAGGGGGGAAUAUUGCACAAUGGGCGGAAGCCUGAUGCAGCAACGCCGGGUGCGGGAUGACGGCCUUCGGGUUGUAAACCGCUUUCGCCUGUGACGAAGCGUGAGUGACGGUAAUGGGUAAAGAAGCACCGGCUAACUACGUG
This 468-nucleotide ribosomal RNA is filed under the name uncultured bacterium. Its description in RNAcentral is "partial 16S ribosomal RNA". It matches the Rfam family "Bacterial small subunit ribosomal RNA", at positions 28 to 507 of the family's 1533-position model. The record is from RNAcentral.